CCGGCAUGGUUUCUUGCUUUCUACAAGUGUUUUAUGAAAUUUUAAAAAAUGAGUUCAAUUCUUCAACGUUGCUGUGUACCUCAGUGCGAUGAUACAUGUUCAAAGCGGUGUACACUUCCUAGAAAUGAUAAGUUGAGAAGCAUUUGGAUCAGGCGGACUGCAUGUGAACAUUUAUUGGCAAAAUGGAAAUUUCGUAGAAGAUUUGUGUCCAGACAUUUUCACGAUGUGUGUUUCAAGACAAACUGGAGACUAUUACUAAAUUGUCUCCCAACAAAAUACCUUCCAGGUGCCGCUUCCAAGGAAAAUAGCUUCUUCUAUCGAGAGGAUGUAUCAUAUCCUAAGGCACGAGGAAACCCGUGAAAAAGAUUUCGGCAGUCAGGCACGUCCUUCGCCAAGUCGAGUCCGCUAGACUCGGU
Dendroctonus ponderosae (mountain pine beetle) is the source of this 416-nucleotide long non-coding RNA. RefSeq lists it as uncharacterized. Lineage: Eukaryota; Metazoa; Arthropoda; Insecta; Coleoptera; Curculionidae. The transcript is spliced from 3 exons. The record is from RefSeq and is a predicted model, not a curated record.